CGUAGUCUGCCAUACGCAGGAAGACCCGCUGAACUGAAGCAUCUCAUUAAGCGGAGGAAAAGAAACUAACUAGGAUUCCCUUAGUAAAGGCGAUCGAAAAGGGAACAGCCCAACGUCUUAAUCCCGCAAGGGAAAUGUAGUCGGUUCACCUAUUGCACUGGUCUAAGUCAGAUGGAAUGCUGCGCGAUUCAGAGUAAAAGCCUCGUAUGACCAACCGCAAGCUUACGAUGGACCGGGGAGAGUCGGAUACUUUGAGAGUAGUGUCUUAAGGGGGUGGUAUGUCCCAUCCAAGGCUAAAUAACGUGAGGAGACCGAUAGAUUACAAGUAGUGUGAACGAAAGAUGAAAAGAACUCUAAAACAGAGGGUGAAAAGUUCCUGAACUUGCUUAGGGUUAAGGCUAUUUAUAGUACCCGUCUUGAAACACGGAUUAGGGAGUUUAUCUGUAGUGCGAGUCUUUGCACGUUAACUGUAAAGGCGUAGAGAAAGCAACUGGCGUUUUGCAUGGCUACUGAGCAUUACUGAUAGGACCCGAAAGGUGGUGAACUUUGCCUGCACAGGUUGAAGUCAGGGGAAACUCUGAUGGAGGACCGUACGGGUUAUUGAUGUGCAAAUCAUUUUUCUGAUGUAGGUAAAGGUGCGAAAGACUCAUCGAACCACCUAAUAGCUGGUUUCCUCCGAAGUUUCCCUCAGGAUAGCUGUAAUGCAUUUAGUUAAGGGGAGUAGAGAUAUGGGUAGAGGUGCAGGGAGCCUUCGGGUUCUCAACUUAUUUCCAAACUUCGAACCUCCUUGUUAGGCAUUUACCUAACUGGAAAUGCUUAAAUGAAUUAGCGUUACAAGUGGGCUCUGACCGGUAAGCGGUCAUGGCGAAAUGGGAUGAACCAUACGUCUGAAUAAGGUGCCGAAAUGUACUAUCACUGAUACCAUAAAGGGAGUCCAUGUAUUUAGACAGCAGGUCGGUGCCCCUAAAAGCAGGUAUCCGCUAAAGAGUGUGUUAAAACUCACCUGCCGAAUACUAGGGCCCCGAAAAUGAAUGGCGCAUAUAGUACUACCGAUCUCAGACAUCAGUUCUAUUGAACUGAGAGUAGGGGGAUGUGGACAUUUUUGUGAAGGUGCAAUGUGAGUUGGACUGGAAGAAUGUCUAUUACAGAUCCUAAUUGAAGUAGCGAUUAUCCAGGCUUGUAUCCUGGGGGCUGAUGAGGAGUAGGGUUUCUGGACAACUUAAACAGAUCCAGAGUUAGUCGAUCCUAAUCUCAAUAAUGGGAGAAAGGGAGUACAGUUGAUAUUCUGUAACUGACAACAGUUCGCGGCAACGCAUACUAUUUUUCUCCGCCAAUCUUAUACCGUUGGUAGGGAUCUCUUUCCUACAUGACAGUACUAAUACCCAGGGAAACUGGUCAUCAGGCGAACUGCGG
RNAcentral lists this ribosomal RNA (1413 nucleotides) under Trichomonas vaginalis G3. RNAcentral's name for it is "28S ribosomal RNA". It matches the Rfam family "Eukaryotic large subunit ribosomal RNA", at positions 1 to 1747 of the family's 3401-position model. The record is from RNAcentral. Lineage: Eukaryota; Parabasalia; Trichomonadida; Trichomonadidae.